This is a long non-coding RNA of Aethalodelphis obliquidens (Pacific white-sided dolphin), 2995 nucleotides long. RefSeq lists it as uncharacterized. The record is from RefSeq and is a predicted model, not a curated record. The transcript has 2 exons. NCBI's taxonomy places the organism in Eukaryota, Metazoa, Chordata, Mammalia, Artiodactyla, Delphinidae.
UCUUUUUGCUUUUCCUCACUGUAGACAAGUAUCUGUUGGAAAAAAAAAAACAAUUUGUGAGAGUCCCCAGAAAGCGAGUAAGCUCCACAAAGAAACUUUCAUAGCAGAUUUCCUGAAGAAAAACUUAAUGUGUCAAAACCACUCAAGUUCACAUGAACACUCUCCCUCCGGUUUGAAGACAUCUGAAAAGCAGCUGCCACGGCUGAGACACUGAAGCAGCUGGAAGCCAUAAAUCACGAGGGUGAGGGAUUCUGGGUUGCACGUUGGCAUGUGGUCUGUCAGGCCAGAAAAAUAGAGACAUAAAAGAGCCAAAGGUCGGAGGUAUGUAGAGUUUAGAAGCCUGAACUUGUGCUAUAUUUCAUGCAAGGAAACCUUGGCAUUGGUGGUUCUUUCCAAAUGCUCUUUCACUUUGCGGAUACGGCACUUGGUUAGAUCUUUACUCCUCUGAAUGGGCUGAAUUCAGCUUCCUGCUAUUCACCCUGCUACUAUUAACUUGAUCAUGUGCUUCCAUGCCAUCAUGCAGGGGACCAAUUCCUUCAAGGGAACCUGGACUAAAUAAGAACUUUCCAGUUACAUCAAAAAUCCCUGACCCUUCUGAAACAAUUUAUGUUACCUUAAACUUUAAAAUGAAAGCAAUAUUUGAGAUGAUUUGGUUGUUCCUUUCACAUGACUCUAAAAACUAUCCACUCCCCUGGGCCGAACCCUAUUUCCCAAUUUCCUUACCCCCCAGGCUGGACCUCAUCAUAGAGAUAUUUGCCCAGGGGCCUGAGUAAUAACAGACCCGUUUAUUGAUUCAGAGCAGGAAAGUGAGAAGAAUGGCUUUCCUGGAAACUACCAACAGCUACACAGUUAAUUUUCCUGAGCAGUGUGUGGUAAUGACCCCCAAUGAUGGGAAGUUCCAAGUUCCAAAACACAGCACCAGGCUGGUGGAGAGGGAUCAAUGUCUACUGGCAAAGUGAAGGUACAUACAACUGAAGCAUGAUUCCAAAAUCAAUCCCAGAAUGUUCCUGCCCAAACUGCCAAUGUUAGAACAGAGAAUUCACCAAAUGUCUUUCAAUUUAAAAAAGAAAAGCAAUUUUCCAGAUACCACAGUUGACUUAUAUACUCAUGACAAAUUUUCCUAUGGAUUUAGGAGAACAAUGGAUUUAAGGACAAAAAUCAAUCAAUCAGUCAGAGAAACCUACCUACAUGGUAGGGAAGACUAACUGUUCUUCUCCUUGUCAGGGCAUAUAGACACAAGUAAUCUUUCCUUAGGAAUCACCUAGACAAUUUCACCAACUUUUCACCUUACAUUGGAGAUAAGAUCUAUGUUUACAAUAAAAAUGAAAGUUUACCUAUUUGUAAAGGCUUUUUAACAUUUUAUUCUCCAAGUGAUUUUUAUUUAGAGUUGUUUUAUUUGGGCUACUUGCUUUUUUGUUUGUUUCUAUGUUAAACAAAAAAGUUAUCAAAACCAGUGACAUGUACCACCAUACAGAAUGAUGACUUCACAUUUAAAAAUACCUAUGCUCAUUUAUUUUCUUUUGUAGAACCAAUUUAUUUAUUUGUAAAUUAAUCUGAGAAGUAGAGAAGAGGUAAAUUUAUCCAACGUAGCAUGACUUAGCAGAGCUGAGAUAAAACACAGAUUCUACCUCUGGGAGAGAUCAUGGGAUCAAAGCUAUCUCCUUCCCUGAACAGAUUGUAAAACUGAUCUGAAGCAAAACUGAAGUUUGUGAGGUAGGUGGUGGGGCUCCUACACUCCUUUUCUAGGCUCUUGUCCCCUCACAGGUUCUCACCCCCAGGUCUUUACUGUUCUCCAUAUGGAACCAGGUAAAUAGACAGUAAUUGCUUAAGAUCUAGAGCUAGGCUAGCUGGGUUCAAAUUCCCACGCUGUCAUUUACUGGGACGUUUUAUUGUCUGCAGAAGGGGGGAUAAUUAUAGAAUCUACUUCAUCAUACUUUUAUGAGAAUUAAAUGAAUCAGUAUAUAUAAAAGGCCUUAGGACUGUACCUGGCACCUGGUAAGCACUCUAGAAACUCUGGUUCUUCUGGCCACUAUGAUCCCCUCCUGCUAUUUCUCCAACCCCUCAUGUUACCCAGCUCAGGACCCCUUCAAGAUAGAUCAUCCCCAUCCAGUACCACCCACAGGUUUCAAAUUAUCUGACAGUUUAUCUCAGAAACUCCACCUUAAGCAGUAGGACGUGGAAGAAAGAAAUCUAAUAAAUACCUUUGCAGGUAAAGAAAAGAUGACCUACAACAGUUCAACUUGUCAUCCCAUCCAGGGUUAUUUGUAUUUAAAAAUAAGUUGCUCAGAGGCAAGAGUGAAGUCCCUUCACAUUUCCAGAUUUAACUCUAUGGAUUCAACUAUUCAAUGCCUGGUCUCAAACCUGAGCAUUGUCAGUGGGUCAAAUUUGACAUCAGUGUGCUAGGUGGGGACAUGGGGAGCUAGUUGGAGACAGCUACUGAGUGGACUUAGCAGACUGGAUUGCCUUACUCGUCUUAACGCUGUGCCCCCAUGAAAGAUGGCCAACUACUGGAGAUUUUGUUGGGAGUGAAGAGAAGGUAAUGGUUGGAAGAAAGUGAUGGAUUUUCAUUCCUCCAAAAGUAGUCUUAUGGGGAGAUUGCUGUAUUUUGCCCAGACUGGGACAACCAGGUAGAAAAGACAGUCUUGUGAGCUUGCCACUGAGGUGUUCCUCUUUAAAUGAGCCAGAGAUGGUUUUGUACCUAGUUUCUCCCACACUGAAAUGAAAAUGGACAUAAGCAAGUCAUAUAUAAUUAUUAGUCUUCUUAACACUUAAUUAGUGUAGCUAAAAAGAAUAAAUUAUGUAAUAUCCUUCUGUGGGAAGCUGUAAAAAUAGGACAGAGCACUACCUUUGGGUACUUUCAUAGCUACAGUGUGCCUGAAAGAUUUGUUUCUAGAGAGUUUUCCCCUCUGCUGUAAGUCUGUGGUUCUGUCAUUUCAAGUUUUAUUCUUCCAGUUUUUCAUUCACUGCACUGGUGAAUUCAAGCUAGGAAAAAAAA